UUUAUGACACUGUAUGUACAUACACAUGGAUGCACGAACGUAUGUGGGGCGCACAUACAUGCCUCAGCGCUCGUCUGUUCUGAAGACAACUUUCCAAUGUCAAUUCUUUCCUUCCACUAAGUAGACUGUAGAGUUCAGAAGCAGGUUCGGACUUGGCAGCUUCACCAGCUGAGCCAUCCUGGCUGCCCUAUCUACUGUCUUUCCACCCCACUCUGAUUAGAUGAAGCCCUCGGGGACAGAGACCCAUCAGUGCCCUGUCUAGAAGAGUGCUCAGAACACAGCAGGCGAAGAAGGGGGCUUCAGACUCUUCCUCUCUUUGGCUUCAGCAUUCCGUCUACAGUGUGCAAGACUGGAGCCCCUCCAACAACAUGGCCAGCCCAGUUUCUCUGGACACCAAGGCAGGUGCUCCAGACUCCUGGGGUCAGCAUGUGGGAGGGACCAGAGGUCCAUCUAGUUACCCACAGUCCCAUGCAGCAGAUACUGGGGAAGGGUAGAGAGAGGAUGGACUGGCUGACGGGGUCCAGCCACACACUGAAGACAACCACGCUUCCAGCCUUCCUGAAGGCUGUGUACUCUGCCCAUAUUGUCCACUGCUCCUCAGUCCUCUGGGAGAUGAGAAGUGAUGUUAUAGAGCACGAUGACAAAUUUCAGUCCAGAGGCACCCAGAUUAGAUUCGACACCCGCCUGUGACCCUUGCAGAGAAGCAGGCUGAGGACCCAUGCCAGCCUGUGUCUGCUUGGAAUCCCGUCCUUCUCAGGCACUGAUUGGGGAGGACAAACGCCACAAUGUGGGGAGUCUUUAGGAGUGAAAGAAGCUAACAGUAGAGCGACAUGAGAGAGGAGAAAGCCAGCCAACUUGGUAAACAAAGAGAAGAGGCCAGAGGGCAGCAGGCUAAGCGAUAAUGCCUGGGACUGCAAAGAGCUGAGUAAUGCAGGAGAGAGAGAGAGAGAGAGAGAGAGAGAGGAGUCCCAGUGACAGCCACUCCACAGCACUGCCGCACACACUGUCAGCCGAGGCACCCAUGGGUGACAGACACCCUCCUCUACAGGGGCCAUACUCCUUGGGACACUCAGGCUCCCCCUUUCUCCCCACCUCUACUCCUUGGGAUUCCUCUUUGCGCUCUCUCUUCUUGAGUUUCUAAAGGCUGAGUGAGGGGUCCUGUCAUCACUUAGCUCUUGACAUUGGGAACAUCAGACCGACCUUCGGGGACUUCACUGGGCCAUGGAGCUUCUACCUCAGUCGGAGAGGAAAGAUCUCGUUUUGGACACAUUAGAACGUUAUGGUGCCUUUGUGCUAGGACAGUGCCCACAGAAGCCGACCUUUUAACCCCAUGCCCCGGCAGCUCUGUGAGGUUGCAGUGCAUGGAUUUUUGGUUUUUGGUUUUGUUUAAUAAUGAACUUACAUGCACAUUUCUUAGGAGCCCCUGUACUAGCUGGUUUUCUGUCAACUUGACACAAGCUACAGUCAUCAGAGAGGAAGGAGCCUCAGCUGAAGAAACGCCUCCAUGAGAUCCGGCUGUAAGGCAUUUUCUCAAUUACUGGGGGAGGGCCCAGCCCAUUGGGAGUGGUGCCACCUCUGGGCUGGUGGUCUUGGGGUCUAUAAGAAAGCGGGCUGAGCAAGCCAUGGGGAAUAAGCCAGUAAGCUGCCCUCCUCCAUGGCCUCUGCACCAGCUCCUGCCUCCAGUUUCCAACCCUGCUUGAGUUCCUGUUCUGACUUCCUUUGGUGAUGAAGAGCAAUGUGGAAA
Long non-coding RNA from Meriones unguiculatus (Mongolian gerbil), 1744 nucleotides. RefSeq lists it as uncharacterized. The record is from RefSeq and is a predicted model, not a curated record. Lineage: Eukaryota; Metazoa; Chordata; Mammalia; Rodentia; Muridae. The transcript has 3 exons.